UCCAGUCAUCACAAAUGUCCUCCUGCCACUAGAGUUAAACUUAAUUACAAAAACUGUCACCGUUGGCUCUCUCUCCCUCCCUUCUGUUCAGAUUCAACCCUUUACCAAAAUCUCUCUCUCUCUCUCUCUCUCUCUCUCUCUCUCUCUCCACAAACCCUUACCAUCCCAACCUCCUUGACCGCGACUCCUUGAGACCUUCCUCGACUUCUUCGACUCGGCGCCCUUCACCAUCGAUCUCUCCUUCGAGUGGAUCCUCGACUCCCGUGACUCCGACGCCGAUCAGUUCAAGCUCAUUGAUCGCGCCCUGCAGUUGGGAUUGGUGCUCCUCGAGGCCGGUAAGAGCUUGGCGAGACGACGAGCCUCCAAGAACAACUCCAUCUCCUGGGCUCUCCCUCAAGACCUCAGCAUCAAGGUCUUUUCCAUGCCCCAUACUCAAAGCAUAUGCUAUCCUGCAGCUACUUAUUCAAUGUUUAAUAAAUGUGCCAUGCGAAUAUUGACUUGACAACAGUUGUCCUAAAAGUUAACAAUGGAGUAGUUUCCACAAUGAUACACAAACAGGGAAAGCUCUUGAGUUGUGGCUCAAAAACUGAAGGAGGCAGAAAUUACCGAGCAAGACUUGCUUCUGGUUCGGCUUUCCUCUUCUAGUUGACCUCUCCUCCUCAGGCAACGAUGACUUCAGGAACUGGAAUGCCGACUUCGUCAAGGUUGACCAGGCCACCCUUUUUGAUCUCAUCCUAGUCCGUAUUACUACUUUAAUCCUAUUACUGCUAGUUUCUCGUUUAUCGUGGACAUUGAUACUCUUUAAUUCACUUAGGGUCUCAUGUAAUUUUAUAAGAAUUUUGUUGUUUGAUCAUGAAAAAUUGAUUAGGAUUGAUUUUCUUAGAUUUUAGGACAUUCGGUUCUCGAUGAAUUGUUGAAUAAAUUUCUUGAUAAUAGUUCAUAUGCAUAGCAUGAUUAGUGAUUUCGAUAUAUAUAUAUAUAUAUAUAUAUAUACACACACACACACCGCCGCAAAUUUUGUAGGAAUCUAGGAUAGUUUAGUUGUAUGUAAUUGAUGAGCACUAGUCCUUUGAUUUGUUGAGACAUGCAGUGUGAAAAUGUUGUUAUUAUGAUCAAUUAGGUUUGUUAUUAUGAUAUCACUUCAUUGCUUUGAAGCUUGAAUUUUCUUUUCAUGGGCAUCAGUUGGAAACUUUGUUGAAUACUGUAACAUAAGUGAAGGAAGAAAUAUGAGUCUGUACUGUAACUCUAGCAUGAUUUACAAUUAGUCAAUCAAUG
Rosa chinensis is the source of this 1275-nucleotide long non-coding RNA. RefSeq lists it as uncharacterized. The record is from RefSeq and is a predicted model, not a curated record. NCBI's taxonomy places the organism in Eukaryota, Viridiplantae, Streptophyta, Magnoliopsida, Rosales, Rosaceae. The transcript has 3 exons.